CCAGACUCCUACGGGAGGCAGCAGUGAGGAAUAUUGGUCAAUGGACGAGGGUCUGAACCAGCCAAGUAGCGUGAAGGAUGACUGCCCUAUGGGUUGUAAACUUCUUUUAUAAAGGAAUAAAACGAGGCACGUGUGCCUUUUUGCAUGUACUUAUGAAUAAGGAUCGGCUAACUCCGUGCCAGCAGCCGCGGUAAUACGGAGGAUCCGAGCGUUAUCCGGAUUUAUUGGGUUUAAAGGGAGCAUAGAUGGGUUGUUAAGUCAGUUGUGAAAGUUUGCGGCUCAACCGUAAAAUUGCAAUUGAUACUGGCAGUCUUGAGUACAGUUGAGGUAGGCGGAAUUCGUGGUGUAGCGGUGAAAUGCUUAGAUAUCACGCAGAACCCCGAUUGCGAAGGCAGCCUUCCGGCGCCCUACUGACGCUGAGGCACGAAAGUGCGGGGAUCGAACAGGAUUAGAUACCCUUGUAA
Molecule: ribosomal RNA, 464 nt
Filed under: uncultured bacterium
Lineage: Bacteria
Description: bacterial SSU rRNA
Rfam family: Bacterial small subunit ribosomal RNA
Source: RNAcentral